GAAGCGAUUAAUAGAAUUAGAAUUUACAUUCCUUACACAAUAAUUUAAAAUGCUCAAUAGGGUUACGAGAAUGUCCAUACUAAAAAACAAACGGUAAUUAAAGAAAUAAAAAAAAAGAGCGAAUAAAUAAGUCUUCUAUGACAACCUUCAUUAGCACUUAAAGAGAGUUCGAGUGGUGAAUUACUCACAACUCUCUUGCUAAUCGGGAUCUAGAUCUUGACCUUCUUGAUCUGAA
This 235-nucleotide long non-coding RNA is filed under the name Carica papaya (papaya). RNAcentral's name for it is "long non-coding RNA (CPAP_LNC014353)". Lineage: Eukaryota; Viridiplantae; Streptophyta; Magnoliopsida; Brassicales; Caricaceae. The record is from RNAcentral.